This 459-nucleotide ribosomal RNA is filed under the name uncultured bacterium. Its description in RNAcentral is "partial 16S ribosomal RNA". It matches the Rfam family "Bacterial small subunit ribosomal RNA", at positions 338 to 795 of the family's 1533-position model. The record is from RNAcentral.
CCUACGGGAGGCAGCAGUGAGGAAUAUUGGUCAAUGGCCGAGAGGCUGAACCAGCCAAGUCGCGUGAGGGAAGACGGCCCUACGGGUUGUAAACCUCUUUUGUCGGGGAGUAAAGCGAACCACGUGUGGCUUUUUGAGAGUACCCGAAGAAAAAGCAUCGGCUAACUCCGUGCCAGCAGCCGCGGUAAUACGGGGGAUGCGAGCGUUAUCCGGAUUUAUUGGGUUUAAGGGGUGCGCAGGGGGAGGUGCAAGUCAGCGGUCAAAUUGCGGGGCUCAACCCCGUAUUGCCGUUGAAACUGCAUCCCUUGAGUGCGCGAGAGGUAUGCGGAAUGCGUGGUGUAGCGGUGAAAUGCAUAGAUAUCACGCAGAACUCCGAGUGCGAAGGCAGCAUACCGGCGCGCAACUGACGCUCAUGCACGAAAGCGUGGGUAUCGAACAGGAUUAGAUACCCGGGUAGUC